This 67-nucleotide transfer RNA is filed under the name Cassida rubiginosa. RNAcentral describes it as "tRNA-Ser". The record is from RNAcentral. Lineage: Eukaryota; Metazoa; Arthropoda; Insecta; Coleoptera; Chrysomelidae.
AGAUAUUGAACUUGUAAAAGUAUAUAUUUUGAAAAUAUAAUAAAGAAAUAAAACUUUCUAAUAUCUU